Molecule: long non-coding RNA, 1157 nt
Organism: Eucalyptus grandis
Lineage: Eukaryota; Viridiplantae; Streptophyta; Magnoliopsida; Myrtales; Myrtaceae
Exons: 2
Source: RefSeq, a predicted model, not a curated record
AUUUCGGGAUAGGGCCUUUCAUCUUUGGAUUUGAGCAACCGAUUCAGCUCUUCUGUCGAACCUUUUAGACAUGGGGCUAAUUUUUUUUUGUCAGAGAUGUGAAAACUCAAGUAAAAGAUCUUCUCGCUAGCCGGCUGAUCUGAGCCUUUCCACGUGCUUAUCAGUUUCAGAUCAUCUGCUUCAAAGAGAGGCAACUCUUUCUUGCUCAAACUGAAGUAUUUUCAGGCUUUCCACAGAGGCCAGGGUUUCAGCUUGAAAGGGCAGACGCUACCGUGACGGAUCGGGCGAAGCCAUAAAUGAGUUUUCUAGAGUAUUCACGGCAGAUACAUGAGAUGGCACGCUCAGUGGUUGCUUCUGUAAGCAUCCGUCUCUGUUGAUUUUCAGACAUCGGGUGAGUCUCUAGUUUCUGUAGCUUUACUCCUGGCUUUUGAGUUCCUAUCUCUGAAAUUGUUGUUCACAGCACGGGCCGAUUCCGUUAUAUUCCUCCAAUCUGGUCCUUGCUUUGUGAAGAUAAAGUUUGUUUCUGGGUUUCCAUAUGUUCUAGAGAAUUAGGACUUGAACCGAGAUCUUUAUGUCUAGUCCUGGGUCUGUCCACACUGCUUAUAUCCAGUCGCAGAUGUUCAACGGUUUUCGUGUGUUGCUGACAAAGAGAGCAAGUUGGCCCAGGUACGAUAUUCCUUUAGUAGAGAUUUUCUUUGUUAGGCAACGCAUUUUGGCGGACACUCCACAAGAAAAGUCAUUCUUGGAAUUGUCUUGAAGCUCCGCACUACGCUCCAUAAAGCUCGCAGUGUCUGGUAAGAAGACGAAGCCCGAUUAUGUUAAGGCUUAUCUUCUUCCUCUUUGAGUGUAUCGCACCCAGUCUUCACCGUAUAAUGUCACGUCUUGGUACAAGUCCACCCGAUGUUAUCUUCUGCAGUUUCAGUCCUUGAUGAAACAUGAGGAUUUCAUUCAGUCUGUUCGUCAAAUAGACCCUGGACUUGCAAUUCAUGAGCCAUGAUUCUUCUCAAAUUCUAUGGACGCCUCAUACUGAAAUAGAUUUCAUAUUUGUUCAAAUUAAUUGUUUGAUCCAAUGCAAAACAAUACUGAUUUAGAGUAGCUGCUAUGUUCUUACAUUCUCUAAUUUUUCCAUCAAGAAAGAAAAUAGAAUGAUCCACUAA